This 339-nucleotide unclassified non-coding RNA is filed under the name Hevea brasiliensis (rubber tree). The record is from RNAcentral. Lineage: Eukaryota; Viridiplantae; Streptophyta; Magnoliopsida; Malpighiales; Euphorbiaceae.
ACAAAUUCGGGUCAGUCUGGACAUUUAUCUCGAUGACACGGUCAUCGUUGUAAUAAAUAUCAAAGUGGAUGUGUUUAAAGAGCAAGUAGGUGUACUCGCUCUGGUCGAGCUUGUCCUUGUCAACUUUCCCCAAGAAUCCCCAGAAAGGAAGAUCGUCAUAGUACAUCUGGAAGUAGUAGUCCUUCGAGACCGCAUUUCUGAGCUUUGUAACCUCUUCCUUUGACAAAGUUCUCUUACAGAGGGAUUUUGACUGUUUGUCCUCCCGGAAAUUCAAUUCAUAUGGACCUUCAACCAACCGAUCACCAUUUAAGACUUCCCCUAGAGCUUCUUUCUUUUCCG